Molecule: ribosomal RNA, 1288 nt
Filed under: Kocuria sp. BRI 35
Lineage: Bacteria; Bacillati; Actinomycetota; Actinomycetes; Micrococcales; Micrococcaceae
Description: bacterial SSU rRNA
Rfam family: Bacterial small subunit ribosomal RNA
Source: RNAcentral
GCCCAGCUUGCUGGGCGGAUUAGUGGCGAACGGGUGAGUAAUACGUGAGUAACCUGCCCUUGACUCUGGGAUAAGCCUGGGAAACUGGGUCUAAUACUGGAUACUACCGUCCACCGCAUGGUGGGUGGUGGAAAGGGUUUUACUGGUUUUGGAUGGGCUCACGGCCUAUCAGCUUGUUGGUGGGGUAAUGGCUCACCAAGGCGACGACGGGUAGCCGGCCUGAGAGGGUGACCGGCCACACUGGGACUGAGACACGGCCCAGACUCCUACGGGAGGCAGCAGUGGGGAAUAUUGCACAAUGGGCGGAAGCCUGAUGCAGCGACGCCGCGUGAGGGAUGACGGCCUUCGGGUUGUAAACCUCUUUCAGUAGGGAAGAAGCGAGAGUGACGGUACCUGCAGAAGAAGCGCCGGCUAACUACGUGCCAGCAGCCGCGGUAAUACGUAGGGCGCAAGCGUUGUCCGGAAUUAUUGGGCGUAAAGAGCUCGUAGGCGGUUUGUCGCGUCUGCUGUGAAAGCCCGGGGCUCAACCCCGGGUCUGCAGUGGGUACGGGCAGACUAGAGUGCAGUAGGGGAGACUGGAAUUCCUGGUGUAGCGGUGAAAUGCGCAGAUAUCAGGAGGAACACCGAUGGCGAAGGCAGGUCUCUGGGCUGUUACUGACGCUGAGGAGCGAAAGCAUGGGGAGCGAACAGGAUUAGAUACCCUGGUAGUCCAUGCCGUAAACGUUGGGCACUAGGUGUGGGGGACAUUCCACGUUUUCCGCGCCGUAGCUAACGCAUUAAGUGCCCCGCCUGGGGAGUACGGCCGCAAGGCUAAAACUCAAAGGAAUUGACGGGGGCCCGCACAAGCGGCGGAGCAUGCGGAUUAAUUCGAUGCAACGCGAAGAACCUUACCAAGGCUUGACAUUCACCGGACCGCCCCAGAGAUGGGGUUUCCCUUCGGGGCUGGUGGACAGGUGGUGCAUGGUUGUCGUCAGCUCGUGUCGUGAGAUGUUGGGUUAAGUCCCGCAACGAGCGCAACCCUCGUUCUAUGUUGCCAGCACGUGAUGGUGGGGACUCAUAGGAGACUGCCGGGGUCAACUCGGAGGAAGGUGGGGAUGACGUCAAAUCAUCAUGCCCCUUAUGUCUUGGGCUUCACGCAUGCUACAAUGGCCGGUACAAAGGGUUGCGAUACUGUGAGGUGGAGCUAAUCCCAAAAAGCCGGUCUCAGUUCGGAUUGAGGUCUGCAACUCGACCUCAUGUACGUCGGGAGUCGCUAGUAAUCGCAGAUCAGCAACGCUGCGGUGAAUAC